This 275-nucleotide ribosomal RNA is filed under the name uncultured prokaryote. RNAcentral's name for it is "partial 16S ribosomal RNA". It matches the Rfam family "Bacterial small subunit ribosomal RNA", at positions 524 to 798 of the family's 1533-position model. The record is from RNAcentral.
UACGGAGGAUCCGAGCGUUAUCCGGAUUUAUUGGGUUUAAAGGGUGCUCAGGCGGGAGAUUAAGUCGGCGGUGAAAUUUUGCAGCUCAACUGUAAAAGUGCCUUCGAAACUGGUUUCCUUGAGUGUAGAUGAAGUAGGCGGAAUUUGUGGUGUAGCGGUGAAAUGCAUAGAUACCACGAGGAACUCCGAUUGCGCAGGCAGCUUACUAAACUACUACUGACGCUCAGGCACGAAGGCGUGGGGAUCAAACAGGAUUAGAUACCCCGGUAGUCCCU